RNAcentral lists this unclassified non-coding RNA (342 nucleotides) under Serendipitaceae sp. Its description in RNAcentral is "partial contains 5.8S ribosomal RNA, internal transcribed spacer 2, and large subunit ribosomal RNA". The stretch from base 1 to 71 matches the Rfam family "5.8S ribosomal RNA", at positions 84 to 154 of the family's 154-position model. Lineage: Eukaryota; Fungi; Basidiomycota; Agaricomycetes; Sebacinales; Serendipitaceae. The record is from RNAcentral.
GUGAGUCAUCGAAUCUUUGAACGCACCUUGCACCCUUUGGUAUUCCGAAGGGUACACCCGUUUGAGUGUCAUUGUAAUCUCACCUCUUCAACUUUGAUGUUGAUCAGUGUGGACUUGGAUGUUGCUGUUCAAUCAACAGCUCAUCUGAAAUGCCUUAGUGUGCCCUGUUUUUGCAGUGUAUUCAGUGUAAUAAGUCUUCACUGGAGAUUGGUCCUUUGGGAUCACAUUGCUUUCACCAAGUGUGCAUGCUUCCAACCGUCUUCACAGGACAAUACUCUGACAAUUUGACCUCAAAUCGGGUGGGACUACCCGCUGAACUUAAGCAUAUCAAUAAGCGGAGGA